GGGGUUGUGGCUCAGUGGUAGAGCACUUGCCUAGCAUGCGUGAGGCCUGGGUUGGAUUCUCAGCACCA
This 68-nucleotide transfer RNA is filed under the name Urocitellus parryii (Arctic ground squirrel). RNAcentral's name for it is "Spermophilus parryii (Arctic ground squirrel) tRNA". It matches the Rfam family "tRNA". From Rfam's summary of the family: Transfer RNA (tRNA) molecules are approximately 80 nucleotides in length. Their secondary structure includes four short double-helical elements and three loops (D, anti-codon, and T loops). RNAcentral also lists the same sequence under 1 other name. Lineage: Eukaryota; Metazoa; Chordata; Mammalia; Rodentia; Sciuridae. The record is from Rfam by way of RNAcentral.